Molecule: ribosomal RNA, 253 nt
Filed under: uncultured bacterium
Lineage: Bacteria
Description: partial 16S ribosomal RNA
Rfam family: Bacterial small subunit ribosomal RNA
Source: RNAcentral
UACGGAGGGUGCAAGCGUUAUCCGGAUUCACUGGGUUUAAAGGGUGCGUAGGUGGGUUUGUAAGUCAGUGGUGAAAUCUCCGUGCUUAACAUGGAAACUGCCAUUGAUACUAUAGAUCUUGAAUUUUCUGGAGGAUAGCGGAAUAUGUCAUGUAGCGGUGAAAUGCUUAGAUAUGACAUAGAACACCAAUUGCGAAGGCAGUUAUCUACAGGGAUAUUGACACUGAGGCACGAAAGCGUGGGGAUCAAACAGG